Molecule: long non-coding RNA, 903 nt
Organism: Thunnus maccoyii (southern bluefin tuna)
Lineage: Eukaryota; Metazoa; Chordata; Actinopteri; Scombriformes; Scombridae
Exons: 3
Source: RefSeq, a predicted model, not a curated record
UUUAAAGGUCCAGUGUGUAAUAUGUGUGGUAUUUAGUGGCCCCUAACGGUGAGGUUCGGUGGCCUUCAAGGACAAGAAGCUAUUUGCUGAACAUGUCAUCGUCCACGACAACUUCGAGCAUUUCUAACAAGUCAAGCAAUGAGAGUCAAGUACCGGAGGUUAGAGGAGGAGGAAGAGGGCGAGAAAGAGGGCGAGUUAGCGGUUCUGCUGCAGGCAGGGCCAGGCGAGGGAGGAGAGCAAACACCGGCACCGUGGAAGCAGGGGAAGAGGCUGGAAACCCUCCGAAGGGACCGAAGUGACUGAGAAACUUCUUGAAGAAAUGACCUUGGAGGAGCACAGGCAGCUCACCAGCGAACUGCUUCAGAGGCAGCCAGGGUUCAUUUCUGAUGCCUUGAUGAUGCAUCAGUGCAGGCAUGGUGUCCCACCGUUUGCUGGAGUGCCAGGGGUACCAUGGUGUACUUGUAGUAACUGUACAGACAUGCCUAUGGAACAAGAGAGGAAAUGCUGUGGCCAGUACCCUGCAGAUUGUGUAAUAAUAAUACCGCACUUCUCCCAGUGCUGUCUUGAAAAUGCUUUUUAUGCAUUCACAGGCGGUACUGGGAGGACAUUAUGGUAUUUGGCCAAACCAGGAAGCCUGGGGAUGACAUUCGGGAGUACCGUUAUGCUGCCUAUAGACAUUUCAUCUAUUGACAGCAUGGCUCUUUAGGCCAGGGAAACCAACUUGUCAUCCCCAGCUGCUGUGUGUGGAGGAUCAGGGACAAGUUCCCUGGUCCUCCAAAGACAUCACACUGGCCUCUGAGUUUCCCUCCAGGUCCUCUGGAAUGUCCACACAGUAUCUCAGGUACUCACACACCUGCCUGUUCAUCAUCAAGGCAUCAAAUCAUCUCAUAUUUAUUUGUUACA